GACGAACGCUGGCGGCAAGCCUAAUACAUGCAAGUCGAGCGAACAGAUGAAGUGCUUGCACUUCUGACGUUAGCGGCGAACGGGUGAGUAACACGUAAGGAAUCUACCUAUAAGCGGGGGAUAACAUUCGGAAACGGGUGCUAAUACCGCAUAAUAUCUUCUUCCGCAUGGAAGAAGAUUGAAAGACGGCUCUGCUGUCACUUAUAGAUGACCUUGCGGUGCAUUAGUUAGUUGGUGGGGUAAUGGCCUACCAAGACGAUGAUGCAUAGCCGACCUGGGAGGGUGAUCGGCCACAGUGGGACUGAGACACGGCCCAAACUCCUACGGGAGGCAGCAGUAGGGAAUCUUCCGCAAUGGGCGAAAGCCUGACGGAGCAAUGCCGCGUGAGUGAAGAAGGCCUUCGGGUCGUAAAACUCUGUUAUAAGAGAAGAACAAAUUGUAGAGUAACUGCUACAGUCUUGACGGUAUCUUAUCAGAAAGCCACGGCUAACUACGUGCCAGCCGCCGCAGUAA
Molecule: ribosomal RNA, 513 nt
Filed under: uncultured bacterium
Lineage: Bacteria
Description: partial 16S ribosomal RNA
Rfam family: Bacterial small subunit ribosomal RNA
Source: RNAcentral